GGAGAAAUUUCAGAGAUGGAUUGGUGCCUUCCGGAACUCUGAGACAGGUGCUGCAUGGCUGUCGUCAGCUCGUGUUGUGAAAUGUUGGGUUAAGUCCCGCAACGAGCGCAACCCUUAUCCUUGUUUGCCAGCGAGUAAUGUCGGAAACUCCAGGAAAACUGCCGGUGAUAAACCGAAGGAAGGUGGGGACAACUUCAAGUCUUCUUGGCCCUUACAAGUAGGGUUACCCACUUGCUACAUUGGCGCAUACAGAGGGCUGCCAACUUGCAAAGGAGACCAAAUCCCAAAAAUUGCUUCGUAUUCCGGAUUGAAGCCUGCACCUCAACUCCCUGAAUCCGGAAUCGUUAGAAAUCGUGAAUCAAAAUGCCACGGGGAAUCGGUUCCCGGGCCUUGUGCACCCCGA
Molecule: ribosomal RNA, 403 nt
Filed under: uncultured bacterium
Lineage: Bacteria
Description: bacterial SSU rRNA
Rfam family: Bacterial small subunit ribosomal RNA
Source: RNAcentral